RNAcentral lists this ribosomal RNA (292 nucleotides) under uncultured Alphaproteobacteria bacterium. RNAcentral describes it as "partial 16S ribosomal RNA". Lineage: Bacteria; Pseudomonadati; Pseudomonadota; Alphaproteobacteria. The record is from RNAcentral.
GGACUACUGGGGUAUCUAAUCCUGUUUGCUCCCCACGCUUUCGCGCCUCAGCGUCAGUAUCGGUCCAGAGAGCCGCCUUCGCCACCGGUGUUCUUCCCAAUAUCUACGAAUUUCACCUCUACACUGGGAAUUCCACUCUCCUCUCCCGAACUCAAGCCCAUCAGUCCCAAGCGCAAUUCCCAGGUUAAGCCCGGGGCUUUCACGCCUGACUUGAUCGGCCGCCUGCGCGCCCUUUACGCCCAGUAAUUCCGAACAACGCUCGCCCCCUUCGUAUUACCGCGGCUGCUGGCAC